This 511-nucleotide ribosomal RNA is filed under the name uncultured Rhodospirillales bacterium. RNAcentral describes it as "bacterial SSU rRNA". It matches the Rfam family "Bacterial small subunit ribosomal RNA", at positions 374 to 903 of the family's 1533-position model. Lineage: Bacteria; Pseudomonadati; Pseudomonadota; Alphaproteobacteria; Rhodospirillales. The record is from RNAcentral.
GGCGCAAGCCUGAUCCAGCCAUGCCGCGUGGGUGAUGAAGGCCUUCGGGUUGUAAAGCCCUUUUGGCGGGGACGAUGAUGACGGUACCCGCAGAAUAAGCCCCGGCUAACUUCGUGCCAGCAGCCGCGGUAAGACGAAGGGGGCAAGCGUUGUUCGGAAUUACUGGGCGUAAAGGGCGCGUAGGCGGCCCGAUCAGUCAGCCGUGAAAGGCCUGGGCUCAACCUGGGAACUGCGGUUGAUACUGUUGGGCUUGAGAGCGGGAGAGGAUGGUGGAAUUCCCAGUGUAGAGGUGAAAUUCGUAGAUAUUGGGAAGAACACCGGUGGCGACAGGCGGCCAUCUGGACCGUAUCUGACGCUGAGGCGCGAAAGCGUGGGGAGCAAACAGGAUUAGAUACCCUGGUAGUCCACGCUGUAAACGAUGAGUGCUGGACGUUGGCGGGCUUGCCUGCCGGUGUCGCAGCUAACGCGUUAAGCACUCCGCCUGGGGAGUACGGCCGCAAGGUUGAACUCA